RNAcentral lists this ribosomal RNA (924 nucleotides) under uncultured bacterium. Its description in RNAcentral is "bacterial SSU rRNA". It matches the Rfam family "Bacterial small subunit ribosomal RNA", at positions 33 to 962 of the family's 1533-position model. The record is from RNAcentral.
ACGCUGGCGGCGUGCUUAACACAUGCAAGUCGAACGAUGAAGCCUAGCUUGCUAGGUGGAUUAGUGGCGAACGGGUGAGUAAUACGUGAGUAACCUACCUUUAACUCUGGGAUAAGCCUGGGAAACUGGGUCUAAUACCGGAUACGACCAAUCUCCGCAUGGGGUGUUGGUGGAAAGCGUUAUGUAGUGGUUAUAGAUGGGCUCACGGCCUAUCAGCUUGUUGGUGAGGUAACGGCUCACCAAGGCGACGACGGGUAGCCGGCCUGAGAGGGUGACCGGCCACACUGGGACUGAGACACGGCCCAGACUCCUACGGGAGGCAGCAGUGGGGAAUAUUGCACAAUGGGCGCAAGCCUGAUGCAGCGACGCCGCGUGAGGGAUGACGGCCUUCGGGUUGUAAACCUCUGUUAGCAGGGAAGAAGAGAGAUUGACGGUACCUGCAGAGAAAGCGCCGGCUAACUACGUGCCAGCAGCCGCGGUAAUACGUAGGGCGCGAGCGUUGUCCGGAAUUAUUGGGCGUAAAGAGCUUGUAGGCGGUUUGUCGCGUCUGCUGUGAAAGGCCGGGGCUUAACUCCGUGUAUUGCAGUGGGUACGGGCAGACUAGAGUGCAGUAGGGGAGACUGGAAUUCCUGGUGUAGCGGUGGAAUGCGCAGAUAUCAGGAGGAACACCGAUGGCGAAGGCAGGUCUCUGGGCUGUAACUGACGCUGAGAAGCGAAAGCAUGGGGAGCGAACAGGAUUAGAUACCCUGGUAGUCCAUGCCGUAAACGUUGGGCACUAGGUGUGGGGAACAUUCCACGUUUUCCGCGCCGUAGCUAACGCAUUAAGUGCCCCGCCUGGGGAGUACGGCCGCAAGGCUAAAACUCAAAGAAAUUGACGGGGGCCCGCACAAGCGGCGGAGCAUGCGGAUUAAUUCGAUGCAACGC